This 234-nucleotide unclassified non-coding RNA is filed under the name plant metagenome. Its description in RNAcentral is "partial contains small subunit ribosomal RNA, internal transcribed spacer 1, and 5.8S ribosomal RNA". The record is from RNAcentral.
UUACCGUAGGUGAACCUGCGGAAGGAUCAUUAAAGUUAUAGUCCCCCGGCCCUCUGGGCUGGGGUCUUCUAUACCACCCUCUGUUUAUUACACCUUUAUUGCUUUGGCAGGCCUGCCCUCGGGCUGCUGGCUCCGGCCGGCUCGCGUCUGCCAGAGGACCUAAACUCUGUUUGUAUAUGAAGUCUGAGUACUAUAUAAUAGUUAAAACUUUCAACAACGGAUCUCUUGGUUCUG